This 55-nucleotide small RNA is filed under the name Arabidopsis thaliana (thale cress). RNAcentral describes it as "ATSL200400". The record is from RNAcentral. Lineage: Eukaryota; Viridiplantae; Streptophyta; Magnoliopsida; Brassicales; Brassicaceae.
ACCUGAUAUUGAGACCAAUGUGAUAAAAAGAAUAUGUUCCUCUCCCCUUAUAAAA